Quercus lobata is the source of this 1794-nucleotide long non-coding RNA. RefSeq lists it as uncharacterized. The transcript is spliced from 3 exons. NCBI's taxonomy places the organism in Eukaryota, Viridiplantae, Streptophyta, Magnoliopsida, Fagales, Fagaceae. The record is from RefSeq and is a predicted model, not a curated record.
UGCGCCCCCCGGCAGUUAGGCGAACAUAUCACCCCAUAUUUGCAUCAAUGUAGAUUAUACCGUGUUACCCGCCUACCACAUAUAGAUAUUGAUUGGAGUCUCAUCACUUCUUUGGUGGAGCGAUGACAAUCUAGUACCCAUGCAUUUCACCUACCUAAUUGUGAAAUGACUAUAACUCUACAGGAUAUAGCAAUCCUUACAGGAUUGCCUAUUGAUGGCAAUGCAGUGUGCGGGCCAAUAAAUUUGAAUUGGAAUACAAUAUGUCGUAAUUUACUUGGGGUGACACCACCUGCAGUAGCAUUGAAUUUUGGUGGCCUUAAAAUAACAUGGGUAAGGGAUACAUUCUCAAACCUACUAGAGGGUGUCAAUGCUGUAACAAUUCAACAGUAUGUUAGGGCAUACAUGUUUCAGGUUUUGGCUUUACUAUUUGGAAAUAAGAGACAAAGUAUAUUGUAUUGCUGCUUUCUCAAGCUGUUAGAUGACUUUGGUGAAGCUGGGGAAUAUAGCUGGGGUAGUGCUACACUUGCUUACCUUUAUAAAGGGCUGUGUAUUGCUGCUAUUAAAAAAAGCACGGAGAUUGCAGGUCCUGUUUUUAUAUCACAAUUAUGGGCGUGGGAGCAUCUUCCAUAUCUGACCCCAAUUCCAAUAAAUCCAACAAAUUUAAAUGGUGACGACCCAUACGGUCGCAUGUAUAAUAUUUACUUUUUAUUUCUAUACAAUUUUGUAAUCCUUGAAACUUCCAAACCCUAAAUAUUGUAUGACAAUCAUUAAUUGUGUAUAGGUGGGAUACCAAGAAAAUGUUUAUUCACACACCAACACAUGUUCUGCGUGCGUACCGUUCUAAUCACGACACACAUAAUAAUGAACAGGUUGUUUGGACACCAUACGAUAAGAAUUUGCAUCCAUGGUGUCUUGUAGAAAAAAAUAUAUGGACUACAAUAGCGCCAUUGUUGUGCUUCCAAAUUGUAGAGUAUUACCACUCAAAAAGAGUCAUGCAACAGUUUGGGUUGUUGCAAAGAUAUCCAAGGUGGUCUACUGACAAUUUGGAUAAAUCUGUGCAUUGUGUAAAGUUGACAGAAAAGUCCACUGUCAAUUGUAAAAUGCAGCAUGAACAAUACUACCAGCGUUGGAACAUGCGAGCUGAACUUCUAGGUUGAGAUGAACAUUUUGAUUCAAGUGUGGACUACACAACAUGGUACUAGCAAAAUGGUCACCUAUUCACGACACCAGAGACGGUUGCCCAUAUGUACCAGGUCAAUAAUAUGUUAAAUUUAGCUGUUGCAAACCAACAGAGGAAUGAUCUCACAGCACAACAAGUCCUUCCACCAAUAGUAGAUGGCCUUACCCGAUUGAAGUUAUCGAUGGAAGCAAAUAUUUCCUCCAUCCCUACUGAGAGGGUGACAACCUUCGGGCGACAACAAAGGCGCCAAGAAAGACAUCCGCAAACCUAUACUGAAACCCGCUCGUCCACCUCUGCACAACGUGGACAAUUCGGAAAUGAUAAUGCCGGACCAUCCACCUCCGCACAACACAAUAUGUACAGCUCUACCCAAGCUAGGUCGUCAACAUUUGCUGGUAAUGAGUCAACCACCUUCAGUGAGUAUAAUGCUGGUAAUAAGCUAACUACCUUCAGUAAGUAUAAUCCAAUUAAUGUCAACAAGUAUUGCAUGAAUUUAUAUAAAUGGAUUGGGUCAUCUACUUCCAUAGGACAAGAAUUUGAGGGUUUUUUUAGCUAUGACCAUUAUCCCUAACCUAAUUCAACACCUCCGUCCUAUCACCCAUUGCCAGCUCCAU